RNAcentral lists this ribosomal RNA (253 nucleotides) under uncultured bacterium. Its description in RNAcentral is "partial 16S ribosomal RNA". It matches the Rfam family "Bacterial small subunit ribosomal RNA", at positions 524 to 776 of the family's 1533-position model. The record is from RNAcentral.
UACAGAGGGUGCAAGCGUUAAUCGGAAUUACUGGGCGUAAAGCGCGCGUAGGUGGUUUGUUAAGUUGGAUGUGAAAUCCCCGGGCUCAACCUGGGAACUGCAUUCAAAACUGCCUUGCUAGAGUAUGGGAGAGGGAAGUGGAAUUUCCGGUGUAGCGGUGAAAUGCGUAGAUAUUCGGAAGAACACCAGUGGCGAAGGCGACUCGCUGGACAAGUAUUGACGCUGAGGUGCGAAAGCGUGGGGAGCAAACAGG